Molecule: ribosomal RNA, 253 nt
Filed under: uncultured bacterium
Lineage: Bacteria
Description: partial 16S ribosomal RNA
Rfam family: Bacterial small subunit ribosomal RNA
Source: RNAcentral
UACGUAGGGACCAAGCGUUGUUCGGAUUUACUGGGCGUAAAGGGUGCGUAGGCGGCGUGUUAAGUCACUUGUGAAAUCUCUAAGCUUAACUUAGAACGGUCAAGUGAUACUGAUGUGCUAGAGUGCAGAAGGGGCAACCGGAAUUCUUGGUGUAGCGGUGAAAUGCGUAGAUAUCAAGAGGAACACCUGAGGUGAAGACGGGUUGCUGGGCUGACACUGACGCUGAGGCGCGAAAGCUAGGGUAGCAAACGGG